GUGAACCUGACCACCGCUCAGAAAAAACCAAGGUUUCUUCGGGUUCAAAAGCUAAUGUACUUAAUCAACAUAAAAGCACUGAAGAACAACCAAUAGCAAGAAAGGUUGUCGCUUCUCGUGCUUCCUGUACAAAGAAAGUUAGCCAUAUAUUAUAUCAAAGUGUAA
This is a long non-coding RNA of Capsicum annuum, 165 nucleotides long. RefSeq lists it as uncharacterized. Lineage: Eukaryota; Viridiplantae; Streptophyta; Magnoliopsida; Solanales; Solanaceae. The record is from RefSeq and is a predicted model, not a curated record. The transcript has 3 exons.